CCUACGGGAGGCUGCAGUGAGGAAUAUUGGUCAAUGGGCGCGAGCCUGAACCAGCCAAGUCGCGUGAGGGAAGACGGCCCUACGGGUUGUAAACCUCUUUUGCCGGGGAGCAACGGGCGCCACGUGUGGCGCCACUGAGAGUACCCGGAGAAAAAGCAUCGGCUAACUCCGUGCCAGCAGCCGCGGUAAUACGGAGGAUGCGAGCGUUAUCCGGAUUUAUUGGGGUUAAAGGGUGCGUAGGCGGAGGGCUAAGUCAGUGGUCAAAUGGAGGGGCUAAACCCCUUCCCGCCAUUGAAACUGGCGAUCUUGAGUGGAAGAGAAGUAUGCGGAAUGCGUGGUGUAGCGGUGAAAUGCAUAGAUAUCACGCAGAACCCCGGUUGCGAAGGCAGCAUGCCGGCUUCCGACUGACGCUGAAGCACGAAAGCGUGGGGAUCGAACAGGAUUAGAUACCCUGGUAGUC
RNAcentral lists this ribosomal RNA (460 nucleotides) under uncultured bacterium. RNAcentral describes it as "partial 16S ribosomal RNA". It matches the Rfam family "Bacterial small subunit ribosomal RNA", at positions 338 to 795 of the family's 1533-position model. The record is from RNAcentral.